GAUGAACGCUGGCGGCGUGCUUAACACAUGCCAGUCGAACGGAAAGGCUCCUGCUUGCAGGGGUACUCGAGUGGCGAACGGGUGAGUAACACGUGGGUGAUCUGCCCUGCACUUCGGGAUAAGCCUGGGAAACUGGGUCUAAUACCGGAUAGGACCACAUUUUGGAUGGUGUGGUGGAAAGUUUUUCGGUGUGGGAUGAGCUCGCGGCCUAUCAGCUUGUUGGUGGGGUAAUGGCCUACCAAGGCGUCGACGGGUAGCCGGCCUGGGAGGGUGUACGGCCACAUUGGGACUGAGAUACGGCCCAGACUCCUACGGGAGGCAGCAGUGGGGAAUAUUGCACAAUGGGCGCAAGCCUGAUGCAGCGACGCCGCGUGGGGGAUGACGGCCUUCGGGUUGUAAACUCCUUUCGCUAGGGACGAAGCGCAAGUGACGGUACCUGGAGAAGAAGCACCGGCUAACUACGUG
This 465-nucleotide ribosomal RNA is filed under the name uncultured bacterium. Its description in RNAcentral is "partial 16S ribosomal RNA". It matches the Rfam family "Bacterial small subunit ribosomal RNA", at positions 28 to 507 of the family's 1533-position model. The record is from RNAcentral.